UUUAACGACAGCCCGAUGUNAUGNUAUCUAACAUUGGGCACGUUGAUCUAUGGAUCUCAGCANUUGAGACCGCUCAGUCUUUACAGCCUUACACAUGCAAGUCGAACGGCAGCACGGACUUCGGUCUGGUGGCGAGUGGCGAACGGGUGAGUAAUGUAUCGGAACGUGCCCAGUAGCGGGGGAUAACUACGCGAAAGCGUAGCUAAUACCGCAUACGCCCUACGGGGGAAAGCAGGGGAUCGCAAGACCUUGCACUAUUGGAGCGGCCGAUAUCGGAUUAGCUAGUUGGUGGGGUAACGGCUCACCAAGGCGACGAUCCGUAGCUGGUUUGAGAGGACGACCAGCCACACUGGGACUGAGACACGGCCCAGACUCCUACGGGAGGCAGCAGUGGGGAAUUUUGGACAAUGGGGGAAACCCUGAUCCAGCCAUCCCGCGUGUGCGAUGAAGGCCUUCGGGUUGUAAAGCACUUUUGGCAGGAAAGAAACGUCAUGGGCUAAUACCCCGUGAAACUGACGGUACCUGCAGAAUAAGCACCGGCUAACUACGUGCCAGCAGC
RNAcentral lists this ribosomal RNA (559 nucleotides) under uncultured bacterium. Its description in RNAcentral is "bacterial SSU rRNA". It matches the Rfam family "Bacterial small subunit ribosomal RNA", at positions 1 to 515 of the family's 1533-position model. The record is from RNAcentral.